RNAcentral lists this ribosomal RNA (478 nucleotides) under uncultured bacterium. RNAcentral describes it as "partial 16S ribosomal RNA". It matches the Rfam family "Bacterial small subunit ribosomal RNA", at positions 28 to 523 of the family's 1533-position model. The record is from RNAcentral.
GACGAACGCUGGCGGCGUGCUUAACACAUGCAAGUCGAACGGUAAGGCCCUUUGGGGUACACGAGUGGCGAACGGGUGAGUAACACGUGGGUGAUCUGCCCUGCACUUCGGGAUAAGCCUGGGAAACUGGGUCUAAUACCGGAUAGGACCACUGCCUGCAUGGGUGGUGGUGGAAAGCUUUUGCGGGGUGGGAUGUGCCCGCGGCCUAUCAGCUUGUUGGUGGGGUGAUGGCCUACCAAGGCGACGACGGGUAGCCGGCCGGAGAGGGUGCCCGGCCACACUGGGAAUGGGAUACGGCCCAGACUCCUACGGGAGGCAGCAGUGGGGAAUAUUGCUCGAUGGGCGCAAGCCUGAUGCAGCGACGCCGCGUGAGGGAUGACGGCCUUCGGGUUGUAAACCUCUUUCAGCACCGACGAAGCGCAAGUGACGGUAGGUGCAGAAGAAGGACCGGCCAACUACGUGCCAGCAGCCGCGGUAA